RNAcentral lists this transfer RNA (75 nucleotides) under Clupeonella cultriventris (Black Sea sprat). Its description in RNAcentral is "tRNA-Leu". RNAcentral also lists the same sequence under 2 other names. Lineage: Eukaryota; Metazoa; Chordata; Actinopteri; Clupeiformes; Clupeidae. The record is from RNAcentral.
GCUAGGGUGGCAGAGCCCGGUAAAUGCGGGAAGCCUAAGCCUUCCCCCUCAGAGGUUCAAGUCCUCUCCCUAGCU